Molecule: ribosomal RNA, 253 nt
Filed under: uncultured bacterium
Lineage: Bacteria
Description: partial 16S ribosomal RNA
Rfam family: Bacterial small subunit ribosomal RNA
Source: RNAcentral
UACAGAGGUCCCGAGCGUUGUUCGGAUUCACUGGGCGUAAAGGGUGCGUAGGUGGCCAGGUAAGUUUGAUGUGAAAGCUCAGGGCUUAACCCUGAAAUGGCAUUGAAUACUACUGUGCUGGAGGUUUGGAGGGGGGACUGGAAUUCUUGGUGUAGCAGUGAAAUGCGUAGAUAUCAAGAGGAACACCAGUGGCGAAGGCGAGUCCCUGGACAACACCUGACACUGAGGCACGAAAGCUAGGGGAGCAAACAGG